ACCAGGUGGAGAUAAUUGAAUCGUGGGGGUGGUUUCCCCCCAUACUGUUCACGUGAUAGUAAGUCUCAUGAGAUCUGAUGAUUUUAUAUUUCUUAACGGGAAAUGUGAACACUGAAAAAAGUAGUUCAAAUAUUUAAGGGCUGCAAUUUCUUUAUAGUAAUUCUAAGAAUGACCUUGACAAAGAGAAUUCAACAUGGCAGCCCCCAGGUUACUCAGGACAAAUGGACUUAACCCUUUUUAUACGGAGGGCCACCACAAAAAUGUAUCUGAGGUGGUGUAUACAAAGAAAGAACUGAAAAACCAGCAGUUUAUUUGAGAGAUGAUUCUAGAGGCAUCUAUAGGGAAGUUGAGGAUGGAAUGAAGAAGGGAAGGCAUUCAGAGAAGGGUGGAUUGUUGAGCACUUUUAUCUGUGGGCAACAGCUUCUGCCCCAUCUUCUCCAUCGAACACACUGUGAUUUUACUUUCACUAAGAUUUUUCUUCAGCUUAAUAAAAAACUAUUUGCUUAUAUCAAAAUGAAUCUUGUUUACAGUUGCCCUGUACUCAUCAAGACCUCGGGCUCUUCACUCUUUUCUUGGC
Molecule: long non-coding RNA, 577 nt
Filed under: Homo sapiens (human)
Lineage: Eukaryota; Metazoa; Chordata; Mammalia; Primates; Hominidae
Description: non-protein coding lnc-CSMD1-12:1
Source: RNAcentral